CCUACGGGAGGCUGCAGUGGGGAAUAUUGCACAAUGGGGGGAACCCUGAUGCAGUAACGCCGCGUGGGUGAAGAAGUACUUCGGUAUGUAAAGCCCUGUCAGCAGGGAAGAAAAUGACGGUACCUGACCCAGAAGCCCCGGCUAACUACGUGCCAGCAGCCGCGGUAAUACGUAGGGGGCAAGCGUUAUCCGGAUUUACUGGGUGUAAAGGGAGCGUAGACGGCAAGGCAAGUCUGGAGUGAAAGACCGUGGCUCAACCACGGGACUGCUUUGGAAACUGUGUUGCUGGAGUGCAGGAGGGGUAAGCGGAAUGCCUAGUGUAGCGGUGAAAUGCGUAGAUAUGAGGAGGAACACCGGUGGCGAAGGCGGCUUACUGGACUGUAACUGACGUUGAGGCUCGAAGGCGUGGGGAGCAAACAGGAUUAGAUACCCGUGUAGUC
Molecule: ribosomal RNA, 440 nt
Filed under: uncultured bacterium
Lineage: Bacteria
Description: partial 16S ribosomal RNA
Rfam family: Bacterial small subunit ribosomal RNA
Source: RNAcentral